This 332-nucleotide unclassified non-coding RNA is filed under the name soil metagenome. Its description in RNAcentral is "partial contains 5.8S ribosomal RNA, internal transcribed spacer 2, and large subunit ribosomal RNA". The stretch from base 1 to 120 matches the Rfam family "5.8S ribosomal RNA", at positions 35 to 154 of the family's 154-position model. The record is from RNAcentral.
GAUGAAGAAUGUAGCAAAAUGCGAUAAGUAAUGUGAAUUGCAGAAUUCAGUGAAUCAUCGAAUCUUUGAACGCACAUUGCGCCCGCCAGUAUUCUGGCGGGCAUGCCUGUUCGAGCGUCAUUUCAACCCUCAAGCACAGCUUGGUGUUGGGACUCGCGUUAAUUCGCGUUCCCCAAAUUGAUUGGCGGUCACGUCGAGCUUCCAUAGCGUAGUAGUAAAACCCUCGUUACUGGUAAUCGUCGCGGCCACGCCGUUAAACCCCAACUUCUGAAUGUUGACCUCGGAUCAGGUAGGAAUACCCGCUGAACUUAAGCAUAUCAAUAAGCGGAGGA